AUUUAUAUAAUUUAACAAAAAUAUUAUAUUUUCAAUAUAAAAAUAAUUAAUUUAAUUUAUAAAUA
RNAcentral lists this transfer RNA (65 nucleotides) under Disogmus areolator. RNAcentral describes it as "tRNA-Glu". The record is from RNAcentral. Lineage: Eukaryota; Metazoa; Arthropoda; Insecta; Hymenoptera; Proctotrupidae.